GACAGAGGUGCCAAGCGUUAGGCGGAAUCACUGGGCUUAAAGCGUGUGUAGGCGGGCCGUUAAGUAUCUUGUGAAAUCCCCCGGCUCAACCGGGGAAUGGCUGGAUAUACUGGCGGUCUUGAGCAGUCUAGGGGCAGAUGGAACAGACGGUGGAGCGGUGAAAUGCGUAGAUAUCGGCUGGAACGCCAAAGGUGAAGACAGUCUGCUGGGGACUUGCUGACGCUGAGACACGAAAGCCAGGGGAGCGAACGGG
RNAcentral lists this ribosomal RNA (253 nucleotides) under uncultured bacterium. RNAcentral's name for it is "partial 16S ribosomal RNA". It matches the Rfam family "Bacterial small subunit ribosomal RNA", at positions 524 to 776 of the family's 1533-position model. The record is from RNAcentral.